Oncorhynchus tshawytscha (Chinook salmon) is the source of this 705-nucleotide RNA transcript. RefSeq lists it as uncharacterized. Lineage: Eukaryota; Metazoa; Chordata; Actinopteri; Salmoniformes; Salmonidae. The record is from RefSeq and is a predicted model, not a curated record. The transcript has 3 exons.
CUGAAUGUAGCUUAUGCUAAGCGAUCUUUACAUUUAAAUAGAACAAAACAAUUGAAACUACUAGUGCGUUUCAUAAUGUUUGUGUUGUUCUUCAGUUCAGUGUUUUAGGUACAGGUUCUUUGCUCAGACUGUUCUUGCACAUCAAUUAUUUAGGCUAAGCUUGCUCCUAGACUCAUCCCAUCAAUUUCUAUUUCAUGGAGUUGAUGAACAAUUGGUGCAUUGCUGCUAGAGCGCCAUUACAGUCUAGGCUACUUUUCCCAUGUUUUGGAUCACUUUCCAUUUAAUGUAUCUAUUGCUUAUUAUUUUUUUAAAUACGUAAUACUCAGUGUAUUUUUUGUAAAUGUAUGGUUUUGUUAUAAUUUGUGAAUGGUUGUGUUGGCUUGGCCAUCGGGGUGCAAGAGGGGAGGGGUAGAGCGCUUGGGGAGAAGUUGAAAGCGCCAACUAAGCCAUUACAUAAAGUGGGGGUUCAGCAACAUAAAGCCGCAUUGUUGACGCUCGGAUCUUAUAGCCUACUGCUCGAUUUUGCAUAUUUACUUGGACUAUGGCUGCGAGCUCUCAUCUGAAGAUGUUGGAGUACAGUUCAUCACCAAGGAAUCGAUUUUACAUGAUCAAAGUGACUUCGAAUAUGAUUAUGAGACACUUCGAACUACAGGGGUCAUCAUUGGUGUGAUCUUGUUUGUGUCGGGUAUCCUAAUAGCUCUUAGU